AUUGGUGUGGUAUAGUAGUUAGCAUACCUACCUUCCAAGCAGGUAAUACAGGUUCAAUUCCUGGCCAAUG
This 70-nucleotide transfer RNA is filed under the name Ficedula albicollis (Collared flycatcher). It matches the Rfam family "tRNA". From Rfam's summary of the family: Transfer RNA (tRNA) molecules are approximately 80 nucleotides in length. Lineage: Eukaryota; Metazoa; Chordata; Aves; Passeriformes; Muscicapidae. The record is from Rfam by way of RNAcentral.